Eurytemora carolleeae is the source of this 1284-nucleotide RNA transcript. It is a transcript of the gene named GRIP1-associated protein 1-like, with no coding region annotated. NCBI's taxonomy places the organism in Eukaryota, Metazoa, Arthropoda, Copepoda, Calanoida, Temoridae. The record is from RefSeq and is a predicted model, not a curated record. The transcript is spliced from 12 exons.
UUGAUAAUUAUAACAAAUUAUUUUAGAACUCAAGAAGAAUCACAAAGUUGAGAUUGAUGAGUUAGAAGAAAAACAUGAGAAGAAUAUCCAGGAUAUAUUCAAUAUCAACCAGGGUAUCUUGAAAGGGUUGGAGACCCAGGUUGAACUAUGCAGUGUACAGAAGGUGGAAUUUGAGGAGAAGAAUAUCAGGCUAGAACAGGAGCUGAAAGAUGCACUGGAGGAGAGAAAAAUUGUAGAAAAGAAAGGGCACAGCAUGGUGAAGGAUGUGAAGAGGCAGCUCAUCAUGGAGAAGAAGAAGAACGAGAGAUUACAGGAGAAGAUGAAGGAGUGCUUCAUAGAUACUGAAUCAAACCAUUCAGAUCAGCAGAAGGAUGUGGAUCCAGAUAGAAGUUCAAUAUCAUCCUGGAGUUUAAUGUCAGGAAACAAUGAUCGUGAAUCUACCCCCUCCCAUGAGAGAUCCCGGGUAUCCCAGAACUCACCUGAUCUUCCAACUAGUCCUCUAGAUACUCCUGGACAGGACUCAAAUGGAAAUAGACCAGGUUGGCGUAGCGCUGAUGAAUCUGGGCGUAUGCAAGGUAGAGAGGGGGGAGAGACUGAUGAGACGGAUGUUCUCCUUGAAAGAGUUGCUUCACUACAACAGACUAUCUGGGGAAUGGAGGAAAAAUUAAAUAUGCUGGAGCAAAGUGGAGCUGCAAUGGCAGAGGAAAUAUUUAGGAAAAACAAUCUGAUCCAGUUCUACUGUAUGGAGGCGGGUCGUGGACCCGGCCCUGUUAGUUCUGAUGGGCGUUCCCUGGCUGCUAGGACAGGAGGGGUACGCCAGAGCGGGCAGGGAGGCGGAGAAAAGAUGAAACAGUUUAUGGACAGAUUAGUUCAUUCUGACAACACAGAUCUUCAUAAUAAGGAGGUUGUGAGAAUGCAAGGAAUGCUGGAGGAGACACUGACUAAAAAUAUGAUGCUCCAGCUAAACUUAGACACUUUGUCGCAGGAAGUUGUGAGGCUAUCUAAGUUAGCUCCUAGUGGAGAUUAGUGGAAUAUCUCAAGGAAUUUAAUCCUCCAAUAUCAUCAUGAUUCCUAUAUCAUUAUCAAAAUAGUAUUUUUCGAUUUUAUUUGUUUUAUGAUGUUUUUUAAAUCUAGUUAGAUUAGAUUUUCAAGAACUAAUUUAUAAUCAAAACAUUUAUACCCACGUUACAGAUUACAAAUUUUAAGAUAAAUUGUUUAAUUUUAGAAUUCUAAAAUUCUAUCAGAUUUUAAUAACAUGUCAGUGCUUCAGAUUACACAUUUAAG